RNAcentral lists this ribosomal RNA (376 nucleotides) under uncultured eukaryote. RNAcentral describes it as "partial 18S ribosomal RNA". It matches the Rfam family "Eukaryotic small subunit ribosomal RNA", at positions 592 to 976 of the family's 1831-position model. The record is from RNAcentral.
CAAUAGCGUAUAUUUAAGUUGCUGCAGUUAAAAAGCUCGUAGUUGGAUUUCGGGUGGGAAUGGCCGGUCCGCCGUUUCGGUGUGCACUUGCUACGCCCACCUUGCUGCCGAAAACGUGCUCUUGAGUUCACGCUCGGGACACGGAGUCGGCGAGGUUACUUUGAGUAAAUUAGAGUGUUCAAAGCAGGCCUACGCUCUGAAUACAUUAGCAUGGAAUAACACGAUAGGACUCUGGCCUAUCUUGUUGGUCUGUAGGACCGGAGUAAUGAUUAAGAGGGACAGUCGGGGCAUUCGUAUUUCAUUGUCAGAGGUGAAAUUCUUGGAUUUAUGAAAGACGAACUACUGCGAAAGCAUUUGCCAAGGAUGUUUUCAUUAA